This 1195-nucleotide ribosomal RNA is filed under the name Bacillus thuringiensis. RNAcentral describes it as "bacterial SSU rRNA". It matches the Rfam family "Bacterial small subunit ribosomal RNA", at positions 139 to 1298 of the family's 1533-position model. The record is from RNAcentral. Lineage: Bacteria; Bacillati; Bacillota; Bacilli; Caryophanales; Bacillaceae.
UGGGAUAACUCCCGGGAAACCGGGGCUAAUACCGGAUAUACAUUUUUAAUCGCAUGAUUGGACAAUUGAAAGGCGGCUUCUAGCUGUCACUUAUGGAUGGACACGCGUCGCAUUAGCUAGUUGGCGAGGGUACGGCUCACCAACGAUGCGUAGCCGCCCUGAGAGGGUGAUCUGCCACCACUGGGACUGAGACACGGCCCAGACUCCUACGGGGAGGCAGUAGGGAAUCUUCCACAAAUUUGGACGAAAGUCUGACGGAGCAACGCCGCGUGAGUGAUGAAGGCUUUCGGGUCUCCAGUAAAACUCCGGUUGUUAGGGAAGAACAAGUCCUAGAUUGAAUAAGCUGGCACCUUGACGGUACCUAACCAGAAAUUGCGAUUGCCACGGCUAACUACGUGCCAGCAGCCGCGGUAAUACGUAGGUGGCAAGUUAUCCGGAAUUAUUGGGCUGUAAAGCGCGCGCAGGUGGUUUCUUAAGUCUGAUGUGAAAGCCCACGGCUAACCGUGGAGGGUCAUUGGAAACUGGGAGACCUGAGUGCAGAAGAGGAAAGUGGACUUCCAUGUGUAGCGGUGAAUUGCGUAGAGAUAUGGAGGAACACCAGUGGCGAAGGCGAGUUUCUUGGUCUGUAACUGACACUGAGGCGCGAAAGCGUGGGGAGCAAACAGGAUUAGAUACCCUGGUAGUGCCCCCCGUAAACGAUGAGUGCUAAGUGUUAGAGGGUUUCCGCCCUUUAGUGCUGAAGUUAACGCAUUAAGCACUCCGCCUGGGGAGUACGGCCGCAAGGCUGAAACUGAAACUCAAAGGAAUUGACGGGGGCCCGCACAAGCGGUGGAGAAUGUGGUUUAAUUCGAAGCAACGCGAAGAACCUUACCAGGUCUUGACAUCCUCUGAAAACCCUAGAGAUAGGGCAUUCUCCUUCGGGAGCCAGAGUGACAGGUGGUGGUGCAUGGUUGUCGUCAGCUCGUGUCGUGAGAUGUUGGGUUAAGUCCCGCAACGAGCGCAACCCUUGAUCUUAGUUGCCAUCAUUAAGUUGGGCACUCUAAGGUGACUGCCGGUGACAAACCGGAGGAAGGUGGGGAUGACGUCAAAUCAUGCCCCUUAUGACCUGGGCUACACACGUGCUACAAUGGACGGUACAAAGAGCUGCAAGACCGCGAGGUGGAGCUAAUCUCAUAAAACCGUUCUCAGUUCGGAU